This 180-nucleotide non-coding RNA is filed under the name Amborella trichopoda. Lineage: Eukaryota; Viridiplantae; Streptophyta; Magnoliopsida; Amborellales; Amborellaceae. The record is from Rfam by way of RNAcentral.
ACUAUUCACCAAAAAAAGGUCUUUGCAAGUCAUAAGACUAUGUAUGGGGGUGACACCUGCCCAAUGCCAAAAGGUCAAAGACGUUGGUGACCGAAGCUAUGGCGAAUGGCAGCCGUAACUUCAACAAUCCUAAGGUACUCCCAAUUCUCAGAUUCUGAAAGAUAAAAUAUGUAGGUUAAA